RNAcentral lists this small RNA (610 nucleotides) under Pan troglodytes (chimpanzee). RNAcentral's name for it is "processed transcript". The record is from RNAcentral. Lineage: Eukaryota; Metazoa; Chordata; Mammalia; Primates; Hominidae.
CCCGGCCUCGUGUCCCCCCUCGGCGCCCGGGGGUGGACGCUGGCUCGGGGGUCCCCGCCCGCCCCCGCCACCGAUUGCGCCCGCUGGCCGCCGUUUGCGCCAGGAUUUUUGUUGUUGUGAUGAGAGUUGAUGAAUGCGAAGUAGGCGGUCACCUUCCUUCCCAUCAGGGUUGGAAAAAAAAAAAAAAAGAAACCCCGAGCGCGGCGGCGUCCGGAGGGCAGCGGCGGCGGCGGCGGCGGCGGCGGCGUCUCGGCGACGGUUCCCUGGGCGCCCCCGGCUCCUGCUCCCUGAGCCCGGGUUCAUAGUGGCGUCAUGCACGCAGACUCCUGCAAGUUCCCCUAAGUUCUUAGAGGACUGCUUUGCCUUUUGAUCUGAGAGUUGCAAAGUUCCAUAAAGAAUGGCCCUUGUGGAUAAGCACAAAGUCAAGAGACAGCGAUUGGACAGAAUUUGUGAAGGUAUCCGCCCCCAGAUCAUGAACGGCCCCCUGCACCCCCGCCCCCUGGUGGCGCUGCUGGACGGCCGCGACUGCACUGUGGAGAUGCCCAUCCUGAAGGACCUGGCCACCGUGGCCUUCUGUGACGCGCAGUCGACGCAGGAAAUCCACGAGAAG